AUUUUGCUUUAAAUAACUAGCAGUUUUAUAAUGAAAAAGUUUUAUUUUUUGUUACCAGCACGCCUUUUCUCGAAGGGGUAGGCAGAGUCCACGGAUCUCCAGCUACAGAUCUGACAUACCUACUCUCAUCCUUAUGAAAUCCACCAUACUUGAGUUCAUUUCACCUAUCACAUCUCUAGUAUCUCCUGGAUUUGGUCAACCUGACUUCACAAUCAAAAUAUUAUUAAUAUCUUCACGUCUCUUUCUCAAAGACAGGCUGAGACCAUAGACCUCCACUUGCCCCCCCCUCGCUUCCUCGCUUUAUCGACUUUCAUGACAUCUAUGAUUCUUAUAGGAACUUUGACUUGAACGUUAUUUCUCUGCCUCACCAAUUCAUCAUUCAUGGGUUUUAUAGUGACUCAUAAAAGAGAUAGGGUCAAUAGAGUCAAGUAAAAGACGAAUUGCUUCUCUUCUUUCUUUAGUAUUGCUUGAUAAUUGCAUGAUAUUAAUAAAUAUACUUACUGUUUACGCAUCUGUGGAUGGGAAAAGGUCGAAAUAACGCGUUUGACUUCCGAAACGUCGAUAAAAAUCUCCAGCUAUGAAGUGCACCAAGUGGAGGAGAAAAGUUAAUUUUUAUGCUUACUUAAUUGAUAGAAGGUUAGAAAACACCAGUAUGUUUCGCCAAGUAUUAUAUAUACAAGUAUAGAAUAUGCAGAUAUGAAACGUUCAAAUAUAACAAUGAACAAUAUAUUAUGUAUCUUAUAAUUAAAAAGAUAUUCUUAAUUUAAAUUGUCGUAGGGAAAUAAUUUUAUAAUUUAAAAUGUGUGCGAAUGUCAUGUGGAAAUAAGAUGUUAAUUUUACAAACAUUAUGUAUAAAAAUGGCACGGGAAAUAAAUUCUUAUUUAAAAAUGCCUUGUCGGGGAAAUGAAUUAUUAUUAUAACAUGUUUUAUCGGGAAAAUGAAUUCUUAAUUUAAAUUGUACACUAUAAUCUUUGACUCAACUUUUCCCGCCGAUUUUGAGUUGUCACUCGUGCUUGUAUUCUGUGCUCUUGUAGUUUUAUAUUCUAUUUAAGUUUGAUGCUCAAACAUCGGUGUACUGCAACUUUAUUGUAUAUUGGAAUCUCAUUUACGAUGUUUCUCUUUUAAUCUGUGAUUUUUUUAAUUAUUUCUCUUUAUAUUGGAAUUUUCGAUCUGAUUUUCUUAUUUUUAAUUUAGCUUCGUACUUAGGCUUCCUUAUUGAUUUAUAUUAAGAUUAAUUUGUACAAAUAAUUUUAAGCGUAAUUCAUGUAUUUACCGCGCAUUUUUAAUUUUGACACAUGUUAAACGUCAUUGUAGUCUUAUGUCACGAUUUAAAUGCCAAAUAUGGCAUUUUCACCUGGUUUUCAGUAGAGCAGCUACGCAUAGAUAUAGUGAGUGCGCAGAGGUGUCAAGUGCUAGAUUUACUCAUGUAAUCAUUGCCAAUGUACACUAGUUGUAUAUUUAUUUUUAUUUUGAAAUAUACGACGCCAAAUUUAUUUAAAUUAUUAAAAUGGUUUUUAUUCGCGAAGUUCAAAGUUUUUGAAAGUACUAUAACUUUUUUUAAUCAUUUAAGUGUAUAGUUUAUUAUAUAAGAAGCGACUUAUAUAGCGAACAUAUAUAGCGAUAUGUGUUUCAGGAAUAUGAAUUUUUUUAUACAUUAUUUGAAAAAAAAUGUGUUUUUCUAACUAAUAUCGUAGGAAUGAGGAGGAUCUAUGAACUGUUAUAUUGAUGUCUCUUUCCGUUUUGCCUCAGACGAUAAAGACGAUAAAUGCCCCAUUUUCACUGUAUCUAUAUCGUUUAAAAUAAUUAUAUAAAAAUUUGUGUGAAAUGUCGAACUUGCUUGCUUGUGGCAGUUUUAAAUUAGAACGUCAAAUCAAGUGUUAAUACUGCCGAUAAAACAUCAUUCCCGCCUCUCAACUAGCUUAAUUUUAACAAAACAGAUCUAUGGAGAUUUUGACAUGUCAAAUUAAUUUUUCCGCCAAUUCAAACUGACAGUUAGGAAAUGUUGUUGAAUAUCACAGACUAUUUCUUAUAGAUAAUAUAAUCAUGGUUAAUAAUAGCUAGAUGUGUUCUUUUAUGAGAUUUAUACUGUGUUUUACAAUAAUUUGUAAUGACGCCAUCUAGCGGCGGUACUAAUACAUAUAAUAUCGUCUGCUAUGUGACUAAAAUUAGAUUAAAAGUCUUGUAAUGGAAAGGGAGUUCUAAUUUUAUACACAAUUUUGUGUUUUUAGACGUAUUUAAUUUUAAAAAAUAUUUUCCGAAUUAAUUUAGAAAUGAAUUUUUGCGGUGGUUGUUGGUAUCCUUUAACAAAUAUAUUAAAAUUCGUGCUUUGAUGAUGAUGAUGAUGAUAUUACUUUAUCCAUAUUGGAAAGGCAUGUGCUUUGAGACAGUAAUAUUUACAUAAAAUUGUGGUCCUAUUAUUUAAGAAAAAAUCUCUGACAUUGACGUUACAAGGCAAAAUGCUAAGUUCUAUCCGCACAGACAUCGCUUGCCCCGGAGAACAAAAUCGUUAAGCACUAGUACGCCCGUUCUAAUGUUUUAUAAUUGUUUGAAAGUGAAUUGUGUCGCGCUUAAGAAAGUGAAUGCGACACUUUUUAAAACAAAGAGUGGUAAUACAUUAUUACGUUCCUGACAUUGUCAAAAUUACCGUCGUAAUGUGCGGUUGAAACAAUCGUAAUAAAUUACUGAAGUGUACAUUUAGUUCUAUUUACACUAAAUACAUAAAAUGUUUAAAUUGUCGAAUGGGAAAUAGCUUUCAAAUGAUAUACAUAUUUGUAUAUGUAAUGUACUUAGUAUCCUAAAAUAACACUUUUUAUUUUCCUGUAAAAUAUAUUUAACUUUUACUGUUUCCCCGGGGCAAGCGAUAUAUAUUUUAUUAUAUAAUUAAACCUUCAGUGAACACAGUAUAAAUCCGAAGCGUGUGUUAACAAAUUGUUGUUAUUUAUUGAAUAAUGUACAAAUUUUUGUAUUCUCGUUGUUUGCUAGUGUCAUGUAAGAAUUCGUACUUAUCUGUGUAUAUCUUGAGAGAUUAAAUGUGUAUUGGAAA
Long non-coding RNA from Pieris rapae (cabbage white), 3043 nucleotides. RefSeq lists it as uncharacterized. The transcript is spliced from 2 exons. The record is from RefSeq and is a predicted model, not a curated record. Lineage: Eukaryota; Metazoa; Arthropoda; Insecta; Lepidoptera; Pieridae.